AGUUAAUGAGCUUGAUAUAAGCAUAUGUUUUGAAAACAUAAGAUAGAAGCUAAAGUCUUCUAUUAACUU
This 69-nucleotide transfer RNA is filed under the name Exhyalanthrax sp. RNAcentral describes it as "tRNA-Ser". It matches the Rfam family "tRNA". Rfam says of the family: Transfer RNA (tRNA) molecules are approximately 80 nucleotides in length. Their secondary structure includes four short double-helical elements and three loops (D, anti-codon, and T loops). The record is from RNAcentral. Lineage: Eukaryota; Metazoa; Arthropoda; Insecta; Diptera; Bombyliidae.